GGAGAGAUGGCUCAGUGGUUAAGAGCACUGACUGCCCUUCCAGAGGUCCUGAGUUCAAAUCCCAGUCUCACAA
This 73-nucleotide transfer RNA is filed under the name Rattus norvegicus (Norway rat). It matches the Rfam family "tRNA". Rfam says of the family: Transfer RNA (tRNA) molecules are approximately 80 nucleotides in length. Their secondary structure includes four short double-helical elements and three loops (D, anti-codon, and T loops). Further hydrogen bonds mediate the characteristic L-shaped molecular structure. tRNAs have two regions of fundamental functional importance: the anti-codon, which is responsible for specific mRNA codon recognition, and the 3' end, to which the tRNAs corresponding amino acid is attached (by aminoacyl-tRNA synthetases). tRNAs cope with the degeneracy of the genetic code in two manners: having more than one tRNA (with a specific anti-codon) for a particular amino acid; and 'wobble' base-pairing, i.e. permitting non-standard base-pairing at the 3rd anti-codon position. The record is from Rfam by way of RNAcentral. Lineage: Eukaryota; Metazoa; Chordata; Mammalia; Rodentia; Muridae.